Molecule: long non-coding RNA, 577 nt
Filed under: Numida meleagris (helmeted guineafowl)
Lineage: Eukaryota; Metazoa; Chordata; Aves; Galliformes; Numididae
Description: lncRNA (ENSNMEG00000003473.1)
Source: RNAcentral
CUUUAACCACAGGGCUGAAGUUUGUCUCUUACCUGGUUGAUCUUCCUCAGUUGCCUUUAUAGUGCCACUGCUUACUUGAAUGUGUCACAUAUAAAUGGCGUGAAAAUUAACUUUGAGGUGUGAUGGCAUGAGAGCCAGCUAAGGGAGGAAUUUGUAACAGCCUAAGUGGGAUUUCUCUCCUACAUUGUGAUUAGUGUCAGCUCCUGAAACUGGAGGUGCUGCUUUUCUGUGGAGCAGAAGGACGAGUGGAGAGCAUGGAAGACCUGAGGACUCUUCAGAGAUACUGAGAUUCUCAGAUUGAGAAUAUCAAAGGAUUAUGGCACGCAUACUCUUGCUGAUCCGUUACAUGGCACUCUGCCAAACAAAACUGGUAAAAGGAAACGUAACAGAAAAUGAGUUUUGAGAAGCAGGUUCUGCCUUGUGUUGACUGAGGAAGGGAUUUAUCCAGGGCUACUGCAAAGGCAAGGGAAAGUAGGGAGAAGAAUCAAGCUGGUAAGUGUUUUUCUGUUAGAUUUUUACAUAGUUCAGGAUGUUUCUCUUUUUUUCUCCUUCACUGAGGCAAUUUGUUCAAGCUGCA